Molecule: long non-coding RNA, 2711 nt
Filed under: Sus scrofa (pig)
Lineage: Eukaryota; Metazoa; Chordata; Mammalia; Artiodactyla; Suidae
Description: lncRNA (ENSSSCG00025012392.1)
Source: RNAcentral
UUUUUUUUUUUUUUUUUUUUGUAGGUUCACAUAUGUCCCAACAUGGGAGAGCAAAGGACACUCUGUUGGUUUUUGAGGCCACCAGACCACUGUGAAAGAAGCUCUAGGCUUGGACAGACAUUGCUUUUUGAGGCAGAAAGCACCACAUUUGAGUGUGCAGCCUGACUCAUUUAUUGAGUCACCUGAAUUUCAGAGGAACUCGAAGCAGAAGGCAGGAAGCUCUGACCUCCGGCUUUCCAGCAGACACAGGGGGACAGACCAGCAAUGUCACGGAGUCUGUGGCAGGGUCCCUAGGGGAACUGGUCAGGCCCUUAGGCUUUGGGCACAGCUUUUUAAACAAUUAAUUAAUUAAUUAAUUAAUUUUGUCUUUUGUCUUCUUAGGGCCGCACCCGCGGCAUGUGGGGGUUCCCAGGCUAGGGGUCUAAUCGGAGCUGUUGCUGCUGGCCUACACCACAGACACAGCAAUGCCAGAUCAGAGCUGCAUCUGUGACCUACACCACAGCUCACAGCAAGGCUGGAUCCUUAACCCACUGAGUGAGGCCGGGAAUCGAACCUGCAACCUCUUGUUUCUUAGAUUUGUUUCUGCUGCGCCACAAUGGGAACUCCUGAGCACAAAAACUAAUGUCCUUUUGGGAAACAACAAUCAUAACUUUUUUUUCCCCCUAAAGCGGCUCUUGGUUGCUGCUGGACCCUGGAGGUGAUUGCCUGACGACAGGACAGUGUGUGUCCUUAUGAUCUAACUGCCUGAGUCAUGAAGUGUGACUUCCUUAAUAGCAUCGGGUCAGACGGACGUGACAGAGGAGAGCCUGAGCAUAUGCAGGGGUCAAAGGUCCAUUCAAAUCACUCGAACAGGAGGCUCCCCCUCUCUGUAGCCCCACUGACGCUUCACGUCUCCUCUCGUGACCGGCCAAGCCAGAGCCUCACCGGAAGGCCGCGUGCCCCGCGUGGUUCAACUGGGGUUUUUUCAAACGUAUGGUGGUGCAACUGUUCUACAUCCAGACCGCUGUUCUCUCCCGAUGCUGGGCAGCGGCCCAAAGCUGGAGCUCCCAGUCAGCCCGGGGGGGAUCUCUGACAUGUUCACAACCAUCCCGGGUCCACGCGAUCACUCUUCCUCACCAUCGGCACAGUAUUCAAUCAACUACGCGAGACAGACCAACACUUUCUUGUAAAACAGGCUUUGUGUUGGGUGAUUUUGCCUGACUGUCAGCUCUUGUAAGUUUCUGAGCACGUUGGAGGCAGGUUGGGCUGUGCUCUGCUCUGCUGGGUAGGUUAGGCAGAUUAAAUGCAUUUGUGAUUUAUCAUACAUUCACUUUACCAGGGGUUUAUCAGGACAGACCCCCAUUAUAAGCUGAGGAAGGCCUGCACCGCCAUAAAAUAGCUGGGUGUUUGGGGUACGUUACUCUGUAUAGAAGAAGCUUACCUAGCCUCCGUGAAACAGAAGAGAUAGACGAUUGUCUGAGGUGCUUCUGGCAGGUGAAUAAAAAGUCCCAGCACGAGGCACGAUGGUGAGAUCAGACUCCUCAGCUUCUGCAGAUGGAGCUCCCUUGCAGUGAGUGGCGACUGCAGCCUCGACACGGGUCUGUCUGCAAAUGCGGGUUCCAAAGACACGUGACAUGACUUCCUGUUACUUCCCAGAUGGGAGAAACUCGUUCAGCUUUCUCCCCACUUCUCUGGGGUCAGUUUCUUGCCAGGGGAUUGGUCUCCUGAUAUCCAGGGGUUUCAACCACCCCAAACAAUCAAUCCAUCUUCCCUCCAUCUGUGACUCUGCUUCCUGGUGUCCGUGUCUCAGCUCCAGGUCAAGUUUAUGCAGUCGUCUUGCACCCUGGUCCUUUACCUGUGGCACCCGGCAGGGUCUUUCUCAAUAGUAGGCAUUUCACCUGUCAAUGUGCCUUUUACUUUUAAAAAAAUUUAUGCAUUCGUUUUUUAGGGCUGCACCUGCGGCACAUGGAAGCUCCCAGGCUAGGGGUUGAAUCGGAGCUACAGCUGCCAGCCUACACCACAGCCACAGCAACUUGGGAUCUGAGCUGUGUCUGUGACCUACACCACAGCUCACAGCAAUGCUGGAUCCUUAACCCACUGAGUGAGGCCAGGGAUUGAACCUGAGUCCUCGUAGAUGCUAGUCAGACUCUUUACCACUGAGCCACAGUGGGAGCUCCCUCAGUGUGCCUUUUAAAAUGGUACAAGGGAGUUCUUUGUGGCCUAGAGGUCAAGGAUCCGGCAUUGUCACUACUGUGGCUUGGGUUCGAUUCCUGGCUGGGAACUUCCACAUGUCACAGGCAUGGCCCAAAAAAUGGCACAUGAAGGAAAGCCACCCAGCGCUCAGCUGGGCUCUGGACUUGCCCUGGUCCUCCUGGACCCCAUCCUGCGGUCGUGAGUAGUAGAGAAAUAAGACCGAGGACUGCAGACUUCCCAAGAAGCUCAGAAAGUAACUGUGUGGUCAUCCAACAGGGAUUUCCAGGGACCUGUGUGACGUGGAAUGGCGAAAGAGAAGUGGCUGACGGAAUGGCACUUCCUGGUCUCUCUUGAUGGAAGGAGGGGAGUGACGCAGCCAGUACACUCUAAAAGGUUCACCCAGAGAACAGUCUCUCUUGGUCCCUCUCCCAGACCUGUGCUUGCUGCUCACAAGGAAAUUGGUGACCGUUGCGGUGCAUUUUUGCAGGUAGGAGGCUUUUCCUUGCCUCGUCUGGUGGGAUUUCAGAGUCUUGUGGAGG